RNAcentral lists this ribosomal RNA (505 nucleotides) under Orthetrum glaucum. Its description in RNAcentral is "partial 16S ribosomal RNA". It matches the Rfam family "Bacterial large subunit ribosomal RNA", at positions 1819 to 2597 of the family's 2925-position model. The record is from RNAcentral. Lineage: Eukaryota; Metazoa; Arthropoda; Insecta; Odonata; Libellulidae.
GUCCUUUUGAAUUUAAUAUAAGGUCUGACCUGCCCAGUGAUAAUUUCAACGGCCGCGGUAUAUUGACCGUGCAAAGGUAGCAUAAUCAUUAGUCUUUUAAUAAAGGGCUGGAAUGAAAGGUUUAACGAGGAACUGACUGUCUCAUUUUAUUUGUUUUAAAAUUUAAUUUUUUAGUUAAAAAGCUAAAAUUUUAUUGGUAGACGAGAAGACCCUAUAGAGCUUUACAUUUAAUUAGUUAAAUAUUUUUAUAUUAAUAUUUUUAUUUGAUUUUAUGUUUUGUUGGGGUGACAAAAAUAUAUAUAUAACUUUUUUAUAUUAUUUACAUUGAUUUAUGAAUAUUAGAUCCAUUAUUAUUGAUUAUUAGAUUAAGUUACCUUAGGGAUAACAGCGUAAUCCUCCCCCAGAGUUCAUAUUUACGGGAUGGGCUUGCGACCUCGAUGUUGGAUUAAGAUAAUAAUUAGGUGUAGCCGCUUAAUUAAUAGGUCUGUUCGACCUUUAAAUUCUU